Molecule: non-coding RNA, 1853 nt
Organism: Phoenix dactylifera (date palm)
Lineage: Eukaryota; Viridiplantae; Streptophyta; Magnoliopsida; Arecales; Arecaceae
Source: RefSeq, a predicted model, not a curated record
GCUCGCCUCCUCCUCCUCUCUCUCUCUCUCUCUCUCUCUCUCUCUCUCUAGGGGCGAUGCAGAGCGGCAAUGGAAGUCCUUAGCCUCAAACCUUUCCUUACGGUUUCCGCCGCCCACCUCUCCAGAAACCCUAAGCCCACUCCCUCCCACUUUAAUCCCUGUUGCACUCCCCAUUCCAAACCCUCCCCCUCAGUCUCCUUCGUCGCCCCUCCAAGAAAACCCUGGCCCCUCAAAACCCUAGAAACCCAACCCGAUGCCAACCCUAUCGCCCCCUUCUGCCUCCUCCUCCCAAUCUUCCACUCAUUCGGGGUUUUCGCCUUCUCUCGGGCGCCAAACAUUCGAUCUUGGCUCAAAGGUGGCCUUGUCGAGGACGAAGGGGGGUGUGGGAAUGAUUUGCUAUGCUGCGGAGGGAUUGGGAUGAUGGUGAUGAGCACCACGGCGGCGUUGUCGAAGGCCCAGGUCAGCCCUUUUUUGUGGACGCUGGCCGGGAACCCAACUUUCGUGUCGGGGCUUGUGGCGUGGGCGCUGGCACAGACUAUAAAGAUGCUCCUGAACUUCUUUGUGGAGCGGAGGUGGGACUUCAGGAUGCUAUUUAGUUCUGGAGGGAUGCCAUCGUCGCACUCGGCGCUGUGUAUGGCGCUGACUGCGUCGGUGGGCAUGUGCCAUGGGGCAGCAGACUCGUUGUUUCCUGUAUGCCUUGGUUUCAGCCUUAUUGUUAUGUAUGAUGCGACUGGGGUGCGGAGGCAUGCUGGGAUGCAGGCUAAGGUACUGAAUAAGAUCAUUGAGGACUUGUUUCAAGGGCAUCCUAUCAGUGAAAGAAAGCUUAAGGAGCUUCUAGGCCACACUCCAUCACAAGUCAUUGCUGGGGCUCUUCUAGGCAUCUUGGUUGCUUGUGUUUGCUGCCAAGGAUGUGUUUUUGCCAUUUAAGUUGAUUCUUCAGGUAAUGCACAUUAUUUGGGAUUUGAUAAAUCGAUCAUGUCGUGACCAAGAAUGCUAUUACUUUGAAGGCCUCACUUGGGGGAAGCUAGAGUUAUCAUGUUCAAGACCCUCUCCUAAACAAAAGGAAGGAUUUUCUUACUGGAUGGUCUUGGUCCGUCCCAGACAUAUCAUACCAUGCUGGUGGAGAACUGGCACCUGAUAUGCCGUCAUACCUAGUGUUGGUAUCAAGGGACGUCCGGUACCAAAACUAGGUAUAGAGUGUGCCCGUUGCGUACCAGUGUGGGUGCCGAAAUCAGUAGUUAAAACCUUGCUGAAAAGAGUUGCUGAUGAGGGAGGAAAAAAUAACAACAGGAAAGAUGAAUGAAGAAAGGAGAGAUGCUGUGAAGAAAUUUUUUAGAAAUUUGAAUUGCAGACUAUUGCUGAGCUUAUGUUCUAUUAAGUGACCCAUAGUGCAUGUACGGUCCCUUCUGCUGAUUUGCGCAUGUGAUGACUGCAUGCAAUCUCCCUGCUAUUACCUCUUGUGCAGGACUUAUUUUCAUAAUAUUAGUAUCUUAAAAUUAUGUUCACCACCUUUUUCCUGUCAGCUCCUGUAUCGAGGCACCCAAGGAAAUCUGAUGCGCAGGUAGCCAGAUGAAUAGAACAAAGGCAGAUGGCAUGUGACUAAAGGAGAAGUAGGCAGCAAUUUCUGCUGCAUAAUCCCAAUCAAGCAGCAAAGAACCUGAAGAUCGGGGUCUCCAAGAGUUCAUCUGCGUGUUGAAAAUUCCUGAUAAGAUCCAUAUAGAAUUGUUGGGUCACUGUAAAAUUGAUGUCGAGAAUUUUAGUCAUUAGAAGGAGAAAGAAUUUAUCUGUGUUUCCUUUGUGGAUAGCUCAUUUAUAUUUGUAAUUUCAUCCAUCAAUUUUCUGGCAGUGGCUUU